RNAcentral lists this ribosomal RNA (112 nucleotides) under Candidatus Nomurabacteria bacterium GW2011_GWB1_36_6. RNAcentral also lists the same sequence under 4 other names. The record is from RNAcentral. Lineage: Bacteria; Candidatus Nomuraibacteriota.
GUUCUGGUGAUUCGAUAUGGUGGUCACACCUGUUCUCAUUCCGAACACAGAAGUUAAGCACCGUUAUGCCGAUGAUACUCUUUUAUGGGGAAAGUAGGUUGUCGCCAGAACA